ACUCAAAUGAAUAGACGGGGAUCCGCACAAGUGGUGGAGCAUGUGGUUUAAUUCGACAGUAAGCGAGGCACCUCACCAAGGUUUGAAAUCUAGCUGCAGAGCCCAGAAAUGGGAUGUCCUUCGAGGGUGCUAGACCAGGUGCUGCAUGGUUGUCGUCAGCUCGUGUCGUAAGAUGUUCCGUUCAGUCGGGAAACGAGCGCAACCCCUGUGAAGUGUUAUAUAUGUCACUUCAGACUGCCCUCUCAUUUGUUCAGAAACGAUUUCGUUUGUGAUCAGGUGAGAGGGAGGAAGGCGGGGAUGACGUCAAAUCAGCAUGGCCCUUUGACACCUUGGGCGACACACGUGCUACAAUGGCCGGAAUAAAGGGUUGCCAAAUCGCGAGAUGGAGCUAAUCCCAAAAAUUCGGUCUCAGUUCGGAUUGAAGGCUGCAACUCGCCUUCAUGAAGCUGGAAUCACUAGUAAUCGUUGAUCAGCCACGCAACGGUGAAUGCGUUCUCGGAUCUUGUACACACCGCCCGU
RNAcentral lists this ribosomal RNA (519 nucleotides) under uncultured bacterium. RNAcentral's name for it is "partial 16S ribosomal RNA". It matches the Rfam family "Bacterial small subunit ribosomal RNA", at positions 899 to 1397 of the family's 1533-position model. The record is from RNAcentral.